This is a microRNA precursor of Gadus morhua (Atlantic cod), 58 nucleotides long. Lineage: Eukaryota; Metazoa; Chordata; Actinopteri; Gadiformes; Gadidae. The record is from Ensembl.
AGGUGCUUGGUACAACCAUGGACAGAAGACGCACUGCAUGGUUAGAUCAAGCACAAUG